UACGUAGGUGGCAAGCGUUGUCCGGAAUUAUUGGGCGUAAAGCGCGCGCAGGCGGUCCUUUAAGUCUGAUGUGAAAGCCCCGGGCUUAACCUGGGAAUGGCAUUGGAAACUGGCUCGCUGGAGUGUGGCAGAGGGGGGUGGAAUUCCGCGUGUAGCAGUGAAAUGCGUAGAGAUGCGGAGGAACACCGAUGGCGAAGGCAGCCCCCUGGGCUAACACUGACGCUCAGGCACGAAAGCGUGGGGAGCAAACAGG
RNAcentral lists this ribosomal RNA (253 nucleotides) under uncultured bacterium. RNAcentral describes it as "partial 16S ribosomal RNA". It matches the Rfam family "Bacterial small subunit ribosomal RNA", at positions 524 to 776 of the family's 1533-position model. The record is from RNAcentral.